Molecule: ribosomal RNA, 428 nt
Filed under: uncultured bacterium
Lineage: Bacteria
Description: bacterial SSU rRNA
Rfam family: Bacterial small subunit ribosomal RNA
Source: RNAcentral
UAGGGAAUAUUGGGCAAUGGGCGAGAGCCUGACCCAGCCAUGCCGCGUGCAGGAAGACGGCCCUCUGGGUUGUAAACUGCCUUUGAAUGGGAAGAACGGUAGGCCCGCGGGCUUAAUUGACGGUACCUUUAGAAUAAGCCACGGCUAACUACGUGCCAGCCGCCGCGGUAAUACGUUGGUGGCGCGCGUUAUCCGGAUCUAUUGGGUUUUAAGGGUGCGUAGGCGGCGUAAUAAGUCGGUGGUCAAAGGUAGCAGCUUAACUGUUUUACAUGCCAGCGAUACUGUUGAGCUUGAGAUAUGUGGAGGCAGAUGGAAUUUCCGGUGUAGCGGUGAAAUGCAUAGAUACAGGAAGGAACUCCUAUUGCGAAGGCAAUCUGCUACAGAUAAACUGACGCUGAUGCACGAAAGCGUGGGGAUCAAACAGGAUU